RNAcentral lists this ribosomal RNA (127 nucleotides) under uncultured bacterium. RNAcentral describes it as "partial 16S ribosomal RNA". The record is from RNAcentral.
AUGUCAGGGCUACUGGCUAUUAACCAGCAGCUUUUCUUCCCAAUUGAAAGUGCUUUACAACCCUAGGGCCUUCUUCACACACGCGGCAUGGCUGCGUCAGGGUUGCCCCCAUUGCGCAAUAUUCCCC